GCCCAGGUAGCUCAGUUGGUAGAGCAGUGGACUGAAAAUCCGCGUGUCGGUGGUUCGAUUCCGCCCCUGGGCACCA
RNAcentral lists this transfer RNA (76 nucleotides) under Rhodospirillaceae bacterium. RNAcentral describes it as "tRNA-Phe". It matches the Rfam family "tRNA". Rfam says of the family: Transfer RNA (tRNA) molecules are approximately 80 nucleotides in length. Their secondary structure includes four short double-helical elements and three loops (D, anti-codon, and T loops). The record is from RNAcentral. RNAcentral also lists the same sequence under 4 other names. Lineage: Bacteria; Pseudomonadati; Pseudomonadota; Alphaproteobacteria; Rhodospirillales; Rhodospirillaceae.